RNAcentral lists this ribosomal RNA (228 nucleotides) under Triticum aestivum (bread wheat). RNAcentral describes it as "partial small subunit ribosomal RNA". The record is from RNAcentral. Lineage: Eukaryota; Viridiplantae; Streptophyta; Magnoliopsida; Poales; Poaceae.
AUGGACCAAUCCAUCCCUUUUUCCCAUGCAUAUGCAUCGGACUCGGAUGACGAUGGUCCUGAUGAAGAAGUUGAUGAGGAGGGGUUCACACCGAAGGAGGCCGAAGCAUUCAAGAAGGUAUUCGGGCGGGAUCACAAGACACCAUUGUUCAAGGAUCUUAGUCUCGCGGAUGAAGCCGUUGUGGAUGGUGGAAAAUGCAUAUCUCUUGGAGCUAGGCCAAGUUCUCAC